GCUUAGCAAAUUUGUUAAUAUUGUUUGUACCCUAAAGCACCACUCAAAAGCCAACAAAUUAUUUUUUCCUUUUGUCACAUAAUGAGACAUUUUCUGAUCUGUAGCAGGGAAGCAUGCACGAUUUAUGUAAAAGAUACAGGCCAGGAAGGAUGCUGAGGUCACUGUUUUUUUCAAUUACACUUCAUUUACUCUGCAUAACGUGACCUUUACCUUUUACAGGGGAGCUCAAAAUGGCCACUAUAGAAGUCAUUGGUAGUUGUGCUCCCUUGGUACCUAAAGUCAUCUGAAUCCUGACUGCUAAAUAGUCUUUGCCAUAGGGAACAUUUGCUCUGCACACCCUUUUCACACCCUUAUUGCCCAUUCCACCCCAAGGCAGACUGGAUGCUGUUAAAGAUAACUAUAAGGAUGACUCCUGUUAAUGUGAAUGUUUUCCAAUGCAAACUGUGAGGAUGCCAAUACUGAUUUCUCUUCAAACUUGGUUCUAAUUUCAUGGCAUUCAGCCACUCUCAGUAAUAACAAAGUCUGAAUUGCAAACCAGGCUCCAGUUCCCACUCAUGCAAUCAUCUAUCCACCCAGCUUUUCUUCCUUUCAAUUGAAAAGGAGAGGUUGUGAAAUUUUCAUUCCUGAACAACCUAAUGCAAUUUCCUUGCUAGCCCUGCUAUGAACAGUGGAUUUCACUAGAGAUCUUCAGGGAUCCCUUGGAAACUGUUUUUUUCUCUGAUUUCUUCUCUUUAUAGAAGCAGAUGGAGUGAGUGCCCAUAUGCAAGCUUUGGUAGCAGGACAGCUUCAGGGGUUGGCCUCCAUGAGAAGAGAACUCCAUCUCCAACAGAGCCAGUGAUCUCCAAAAUACACCUGCUGCAGGAUAAAGAAUGAAAAGAAAUAUCUUCCUGGCAGCACUGAGUAUGGAGGGGAUAAGGAAAGUAACAAGGAAAAGGCUGCACACAUUUACUAAGCUCUGGCAUCUGUUGUGACAGUGAAGUGAUGAGCACAGACCAGAAUUUCACAACCAGGACCUAGCCAUAACUG
This is a non-coding RNA of Coturnix japonica (Japanese quail), 1026 nucleotides long. The record is from RefSeq and is a predicted model, not a curated record. Lineage: Eukaryota; Metazoa; Chordata; Aves; Galliformes; Phasianidae.